This 534-nucleotide ribosomal RNA is filed under the name Arsenophonus endosymbiont of Bemisia tabaci. Its description in RNAcentral is "bacterial LSU rRNA". It matches the Rfam family "Bacterial large subunit ribosomal RNA", at positions 175 to 751 of the family's 2925-position model. The record is from RNAcentral. Lineage: Bacteria; Pseudomonadati; Pseudomonadota; Gammaproteobacteria; Enterobacterales; Morganellaceae.
CGAGGCGAACCGGGGAAACUGAAACAUCUCAGUACCCCGAGGAAAAGAAAUCAACCGAGAUUCCCCCAGUAGCGGCGAGCGAACAGGGAGCAGCCCAGAGUCAACAUCAAUAUUUACCGCAGGAGAAAGAUCUGGAAAGGCCGGCAAUAAAGGGUGAUAGCCCCGUAUCUGAAGCGGUAAGUGUUGUGAACUCGAAGAGUAAGGCGGGACACGUGUUAUCCUGUCUGAAUAUGGGGGGACCAUCCUCCAAGGCUAAAUACUCCUGACUGACCGAUAGUGAACCAGUACCGUGAGGGAAAGGCGAAAAGAACCCCGGCGAGYGGAGUGAAAUAGAACCUGAAACCGUGUACGUACAAGCAGUAGGAGCACCCGAAAAGGUGUGACUGCGUACCUUUUGUAUAAUGGGUCAGCGACUUAUAUUCUGUAGCAAGGUUAACCGCAUAGGGGAGCCGUAGGGAAACCGAGUCUUAACUGGGCGUUAAGUUGCAGGGUAUAGACCCGAAACCCGGUGAUCUAGCCAUGGGCAGGUUGAAG